Molecule: long non-coding RNA, 3760 nt
Filed under: Sus scrofa (pig)
Lineage: Eukaryota; Metazoa; Chordata; Mammalia; Artiodactyla; Suidae
Description: lncRNA (ENSSSCG00000054059.1)
Source: RNAcentral
GGGGUCUAAUCAGAGCUAUAGCUGCCAGCCUACGCCACAGCCAUGCCAGAUUGUUAACCCACUGAGUGAGGCCGGGGAUUGAACCUGUGACCUCAUGGUUCCUAGUCAGACUCAUUUCCACUGAGCCAUGACGGGAACUCCCAAAUUUUCUUAUUUACUCAUCUUUGUUUGGUUUGUUUGAUGUUAUAUGAUGAAGUAUAUAUAAUAUUUUGAAAGGAAUAAAAUUAUGAACCAUAUAAUAUUUUAUUCUUAGUUUAAUGCCAAAAUUAAGAUCAUAGUUAUAGAAUUUUAAGUUUCCACUUAUGUAAGAGACAGUUAAGAAAUUUCAUAGUAUCUAGUAAUAUCAAAGGCGUAACAAAUAAAAAUGUUCAUAAUCUUCUGGUGAUAAAUUAAAUUAAUGGAUGCAACUUUUCUAGAGAGGAGUUGACAACAUUUGGCAAUAUUUAAAUACUUUUGCUUUAUUUUUGACCCAAUGAUCAGAAGAAGUAAGUACAGGACAAUCUUUUUGCUAUUGUUAGGAAAUGCAGAAAUAUAUUCAAAUGAGGAUAAUCAGUUAAACAGACUAUGGAUCAUCCAUAGGUUAAAACAAACAAAGAAGCAAAAAGCCUUGUGCAUUCAUGAGGAAGAAAGUAAAUUUCUAAAGGCUAAAAAAAAUACUCUAAGAUAUAUUAGUGAAUACAGUAAGCAACAAAAAGUGUGUGUAAUAUGAAUGAUCACCUUUGUAACAGAAAUGGCAAAAAUAACCCUCAAAAAUUAUGCAUGAUAGAAUAAUUUGUUAGUCAUAUAACAAAUCACCCAUCAAUAGGCUUCACAAAUAAUAUAUCAAAAACAUUCAAAAUAUAUAGUUGAGAGCAGAGCAAAGAUAAGAAAUGACGUGCCAGAAACAUGAGAUGGAGAAAAGAGAGAGGUUAAAAGUAGCAGUUGAUGAUUCACUCAUGUGAGCUGAUGUUGUAUGUCUGUGAAACACUGGGAUGUAAAGUGGUCCCCAGCAUUACAGGUGGUAGGAAGUGUACUCCUUGCAUGGGUCUGAGUUAAGAUGGGACUUUUGCUCUCUUAAAAUUGGAAAUCUAAAAAUGCCCCUGGCCCACGGACAUGGCACGGAGGCAGGCUGCCUACACUUGGCCAUAGGUGGCCAAACAGUCACUGAAAAGAAAUCGGCAGAAUUAAAAACAAAAUCUGGGAACUAUGUCUGGUCACUUAUGAUGGAGCAUGAAAAUGUGAGAAAAAAGAAUGUAUACAUGUAUGUGUAACUGGGUCACCAUGCUGUACAGUAGAAAAAAAAAUAAUAAUGUACUGGGGAAAUAAAAAAUAAAAUAAAAUUUAAAAAAAAUCUGCCCAUAGUACUUAUAAAAAGAGGAUACCUGCAAAACUCCCAGAGAAGACAAUACACCCUGAAGAUAAACUCACAAAGUACAAGAAAACACAUGAAAAACCACCAGGAGAGUCUCCACCAAAGCAGAAAAGAGACCAACUCAUUCUAUAUAAAUACUGUUAAUUUAGUUAAUUGGGAAAUUUGUAGGACGUUUAAAAACUCUGACCAAAAUCUACUAUGGAAAAUUUCUUUCAGUAAAGAUGCUAAGAGAAUAAUAUGUCAUUAAGUGAAAAAACAAUAUGAUAAGAAAAUUACUAUGAUUCUAGUAAAUGAACAGACAGACCACAAACAUAUAAUUUAUAAACAUACAAUUAGGAAUACAUCAAGAGAACUGGGCAAACAAGAGACAAGAAAGUAAGAGAUACAAUAAGGAAUAUCUUUUUCACAAAUCUAAUUAGCAGAAUAUAUUAACCAAUGCUAGCAACAAUGAGCUGCAAGAAUCACUCUCACAAUUUCGUGUGUAUGCUCAUGUGUGUGUGUAGCAUAAUGCUUUUGAAUAGGAUAUUGGCAGUAUUCGUACAGAACCAUAAAUUGUCAAUAAUUGGUUUCUUAAUUAUCUUAAAGAUCUUACUCAAUGAAAACUAUAGUAAAUGUACAAUGUUCUGUUAGUUCAAAUAUAGACCAGUACUAUAUACAGAAGAGUCCAGUGGAUUUUUGCCUAGAUCUAAAAAAUGAUGUUUAUAGAAAAUACAAAAUAAUAUCUACUAUGCACCUACUAAUAACAUCUGCUAUAAUGCUUGGUGUGUAACUGCUCAAAAAUGUUUGUUGAAUAAUGAACAGAUAAAAGAGGAAUUAAAUCCAUCAAAAUAAAAGCAUAAAUAUAUAUUUUAUGUAUAAGGUCAUAUAAUGUUAUAUGUUAUAAAUAAUGUUAGCUGAAAAACAUAGGAAAGCUAAGACAUCCUCAUCAAAACUAUAAGUUGUGAGAAUAUUUGACUAAAAUUCUUAAAAGCAAAGCUUUUGAAUUAUAGUUUAAUCAAAAUAUUUAUUAAUAUAUGAAUAAUUCAAUUUACUAGAUACUUUGUGUUAUUUGCCCUUUCUACUAUUUAAUAAUGUCAAAGUAGGUAUUAUUUUAUAGUAAUAAUGAAAGGGACAUAUAAGUUUUUAAAACCCAAAUCAGAACACAUACACUUUAGGGAAAAAAAAUGAAUACAUACAUGAAUUCAUUCUCUCUAAAUGCUAAGUUCCUAUUUUAGUCUAUAAUUUUCUUCCAUGGUUGUCUUAGUCUUAGGCAGUUUGGGCUGUUAUAACAAAAGACCAUAGACUGCGUAGUUUAAACAACAAGCAUUUAUUUCUCACAAUUUCUGGAGGCUCAAAGGAGUAGCUUCCCUCUUCCUGUGUCCUUACAUGCCUUUCCUUUGAGAGUACAACCUCUCGUGUCUCUUCCUCUUCCUCUUCUCCCACUAAUCCCACCUUGAGUGAACCACCCUUAUGACAUAAUUGAAUACUAAUUACCUCCAAAAACCAUCACAUCAGGAAUUAGAGAUUCCACACAGGAAUUUUGGGAGAGCAUACAAUCAGUCCUUACAAAUGACUAUAUAAUGAAAUUACACUGUAUUAUUUUUUAAUUUAUGAAGUAUUUUAAUGUAAUUUUCAUUACUUUUUUGUUCUUUCAUUGGCUCUUAUCUUACCUCUUAAAGCAGGUGCCAUUAUGAAAAAAUCCUUCUUUUAUUUAAAAUUCUCUCUCUUCACAUUAGUAAAGUUUGCUCAAUUUCUAUUCUUCUUCUUUUUUUUUUUAAUGGCUGUACUCAGGAUAUAUGGAAGCUCCCUGGCUACAGACUGAAUCCAAGCCACAGCUGCAACCUAUGCCACAGCUGCAGUGCGGCAAUGCUGGAUCCUUUAACCCACUGCUCUAGACUGGAAUCAAACCUGCACCUCUGCAGCAACUAGAGAUGCUGAAGUUGAAUUUUUUUUCUUUUUUUAGGGCUGCACCUGCAGCAUAUGGAAGUUCCCAGGCUAGGGGUCAAAUUGGAGCCACAGCUGUGGGCCUAUGCCACGGCCACAUCAACUCUGGAUCCUCAAUCCACUGAGCAAGGCCAGAGAUCAGACCAGCAUCCUCAUGUUACUGGAAAGAUGUUACCAGAAUCCAGGUUCUUCACGGAGCUGAAGAAUGAACCUCGUGAACACACAGGCGGAAAGCAAGCAAAAGUCUUUAUCAUAGGAAAGCAGACAGCUCCAAGCACACACACCGGGAAGGGGAGGAAGACUUCCCAUCCUCUAAUUUUCUAAGGAGGUUUUAUCUCUUAAAGAUAGGGGUACCAAUGUGGUGUCCUUCUAUCAGUCAUUUUCCCUACUGGCCUUGCCCAGCACCUAUAUUGGGCCUUGUCCAAUAGGGGAUUAGAGUUAGGUUAUGCCCCAUAUGUUUUAUGGUCCUUUUGUUCUUCUUUCCCU